GGGACCGACCUUCGGGAGCCUAUACAGGUGUUGCAUGGCUGUCGUCAGCUCGUGUCGUGAGAUGUUCGGUUAAGUCCGCUAGCGAGCGCAACCCUCGUCGUAUGUUAUAUGUGUCAUACGAGACUGCCGGUAAAAAGCCGGAGGAAGGUGAGGAUGAUGUCAAGUCAGCAUGACCUUUAUAUCCAGGGCUACACACACGCUACAAUGGUCUGUACAAUGGGUAGCCAAGCCGCGAGGCGGAGCCAAUCCUGAAAGCAGGCCUCAGUUCAGAUUGCAGUCUGCAACUCGACUGCAUGAAGCCGGAGUUGCUAGUAACCGCAGGUCAGCAAUACUGCGGUGAAUACGUUCCCGGGUCUU
RNAcentral lists this ribosomal RNA (357 nucleotides) under uncultured Anaerolineaceae bacterium. RNAcentral describes it as "bacterial SSU rRNA". It matches the Rfam family "Bacterial small subunit ribosomal RNA", at positions 1007 to 1382 of the family's 1533-position model. Lineage: Bacteria; Bacillati; Chloroflexota; Anaerolineae; Anaerolineales; Anaerolineaceae. The record is from RNAcentral.